Molecule: ribosomal RNA, 550 nt
Filed under: fungal sp.
Lineage: Eukaryota; Fungi
Description: partial large subunit ribosomal RNA
Rfam family: Eukaryotic large subunit ribosomal RNA
Source: RNAcentral
AGUAACGGCGAGUGAAGCGGCAACAGCUCAAAUUUGAAAUCUGGAGUCCUUGUGGCUUCCGAGUUGUAAUUUGCAGAGGGAGCCUCGGAGGGCUGGUCGGUCCAAGUGCCUUGGAACAGGAUACCGCAGAGGGUGAGAGUCCCGUAUCCGGCCGACGCAGCGCUCCGUGUGAGGCCUCUUCGACGAGUCGAGUUGUUUGGGAAUGCAGCUCUAAGUGGGUGGUAAAUUCCAUCUAAAGCUAAAUACUGGCCAGAGACCGAUAGCGAACAAGUAGAGUGAUCGAAAGAUGAAAAGCACUUUGAAAAGAGAGUUAAACAGUACGUGAAAUUGUUGAAAGGGAAGCGCAUGGGGGCAGACUUGGACGCGGGGUUCAGGGUCACAAUUUUGAGGCCUGUACUUCCCCGCGGACAGGCCAGCAUCGGUUCUGGGGGCCGGACAAAGGCGACGGGAACGUGGCUCUCUUCGGGGAGUGUUAUAGCCCGACGUGCAAUGCGGCCACCUGGGACCGAGGACCGCGCUUCGGCAAGGAUGCUGGCGUAAUGGCCUCAUG